AUCUUCUGUAGGUGAACCUGCGGAAGGAUCAUUG
This 34-nucleotide ribosomal RNA is filed under the name Heuchera cylindrica. Its description in RNAcentral is "partial 18S ribosomal RNA". Lineage: Eukaryota; Viridiplantae; Streptophyta; Magnoliopsida; Saxifragales; Saxifragaceae. The record is from RNAcentral.